AGCAGCCGCGGUAAUUCCAGCUCCAAUAGCGUAUAUUAAAGUUGUUGCAGUUAAAAAGCUCGUAGUUGAAUUUCGAGAUCAAUUUGUCGGUCGUGCCUCGGUACGUACUGGCAUUAUUGAUUUCUCCCUUCUGAAGAACCGCGAUGUCAUUAAUUUGGUGUCGUGGGGAAUCAGGACUGUUACUUUGAAAAAUUAGAGUGUUUAAAGCAGGCGCACGCUUGAAUACAUUAGCAUGGAAUAAUGAAAUAGGACGUUUGAUUCUAUUUUGUUGGUUUCUAGGAUCGACGUAAUGAUUAAUAGGGAUAGUUGGGGCAUUAGUAUUCAAUUGUCAGAGGUGAAAUUCUUGGAUUUAUUGAAGACUAACUACUGCGAAAGCAUUUGCCAAGGAUGUUUUCAUUAAUCAAGAACGAAAGUUAGGGGAUCGAAGACGAUCAGAUACCGUCGUAGUCUUAACCAUAAAACUAUG
RNAcentral lists this ribosomal RNA (466 nucleotides) under uncultured Glomus. RNAcentral describes it as "SSU rRNA". It matches the Rfam family "Eukaryotic small subunit ribosomal RNA", at positions 569 to 1041 of the family's 1831-position model. The record is from RNAcentral. Lineage: Eukaryota; Fungi; Glomeromycota; Glomeromycetes; Glomerales; Glomeraceae.